Molecule: ribosomal RNA, 709 nt
Filed under: Celeribacter sp.
Lineage: Bacteria; Pseudomonadati; Pseudomonadota; Alphaproteobacteria; Rhodobacterales; Roseobacteraceae
Description: bacterial SSU rRNA
Rfam family: Bacterial small subunit ribosomal RNA
Source: RNAcentral
CGUACCCUUCACUACGGAAUAGUCCCGGGAAACUGGGUUUAAUACCGUAUACGCCCUUCGGGGGAAAGAAUUUCGGUGAGGGAUCGGCCCGCGUUAGAUUAGUUAGUUGGUGGGGUAAUGGCCUACCAAGACUACGAUCUAUAGCUGGUUUGAGAGGAUGAUCAGCAACACUGGGACUGAGACACGGCCCAGACUCCUACGGGAGGCAGCAGUGGGGAAUCUUAGACAAUGGGGGCAACCCUGAUCUAGCGAUGCCGCGUGAGUGAUGAAGGCCUUAGGGUCGUAAAGCUCUUUCGCCUGUGAUGAUAAUGACAGUAGCAGGUAAAGAAACCCCGGCUAACUCCGUGCCAGCAGCCGCGGUAAUACGGAGGGGGUUAGCGUUGUUCGGAAUUACUGGGCGUAAAGCGCACGUAGGCGGAUUAGUCAGUCAGAGGUGAAAUCCCAGGGCUCAACCCUGGAACUGCCUUUGAUACUGCUAGUCUUGAGUUCGAGAGAGGUAAGUGGAAUUCCGAGUGUAGAGGUGAAAUUCGUAGAUAUUCGGAGGAACACCAGUGGCGAAGGCGGCUUACUGGCUCGAUACUGACGCUGAGGUGCGAAAGUGUGGGGAGCAAACAGGAUUAGAUACCCUGGUAGUCCACACCGUAAACGAUGAAUGCCAGUCGUCGGGUAGCAUGCUAUUCGGUGACACACCUAACGGAUUAAGCAUUCC